Molecule: long non-coding RNA, 869 nt
Organism: Planococcus citri (citrus mealybug)
Lineage: Eukaryota; Metazoa; Arthropoda; Insecta; Hemiptera; Pseudococcidae
Exons: 2
Source: RefSeq, a predicted model, not a curated record
CAAAUAAUCGAGAAAACUAGCCAAAAACUUUCAACUUUAUGAAGUUACACCCUGAAUUAAAGCACUUGCUUCUCAAAUCUUCAGCUUGAUCACGUUUCAGAAAAAUCGAGUAUUAGAUUCGUGUUACAUAUUUGUAAGUUAUUUUCUGCAUCACUAUGAAAGUCAAUUACUUUGUUGGUGCUUAUCUUACUGUAGUAGGUAUCCUUAUCGCAGCUAAAGAACGAUGCAGUUAAAACAGCACGAAUUAUUCACGGAUAAGAAUACCUACGACCCUACGUCCAUAAUAAAUGGUUUUUAUGACGCAUAAGAAAUUAUAUGUAUUAGAAUUUGGGAGUCGUGAUUUUAGUGAGAUUGCAACGAAAUAAAUUAUUUUCAUACUCAUUUCAUUGUAAAAAGCCACACAUAUUGGUGGAUUUGUAAAUCUUGGUGCUCAACAGUCCUUCAACUUGGAUAAGCGUUAAGUUUGAAUUCGAGAAGAUUUUACGCAAUCUAAAUCCAUACAUAUGUCAAGACUACUGCCACUGAUGAUUUUCCUGGCUAUACCACUAGCCAGUUUUUCUGUCAUGAAGAAGUGGAUAUGCAACAAUGCAGAAGAUGCUGAAAACUGGUGUAAUGAGAACUGCCCAAGUAUUUGCGAAAAAAACAACAUGACUCAGCCCACCUGCCAUUCAGAUAGAAGUGGAUACCGGCUGGUGAAAGGCCCUGGCCAGAAAUGGAAGGACGCACAGAGGUAUUGGAACUGGUGCUGCCAUUGCAAUAUGGCUAAACCCCGUACCACCUUUGUCGCCCCGUCUCAUGAGUCUUGGUGAUUUCAUGAAUUUGUUCAAAAAUAUUAAAAAUAAUAUACUUCCAGACUGGCUUUAUCGUUA